CAGUACAAGGCAACAUUUUCCUGGUGGUGGUUGCUUUUCAUAUCAACUCCACUCCGCACUCCCCACACCUCUUUUACCUUCCAAGUAGGUCAACUCAUUUUCUCCUAACAAAUUUCGUCUCUAGUUUGAAACGAAUAAUUUCACUCGCAGUUAACCUACACCACCCCGCACAAAUUUGAUUGUUUUUCAGAUUUGGGUCUUCUUGUUUCUUUUCUUCUAACUCGUCUUCCUGGGUUCCCAGUAUUCUAGAGAGAAAGAGAGGGGGUUGUGGGGUAGAUGGGGAAUUCAUUUGGGUGUUCAGCAUCAGGAGAGAUAUUAGUAAGUGCAGCUAGAGAUGGAGAUUUAGUUAUUAGAAUUCAAUCCUGGUUUAGCUAAAUCUUAAUUCUCCACUUCAUUUUGUUUUGAUUUGUAACAUUGUUGCUUGAAAAGGGGGCAGAUGUAAAUUCCAGGAAUUUCUGUGGACAGGUUAUACUAGUCGACUAGACAGCUCUCCGUUUCACAGCUGCAAAUGGACAUGUCAGUCGUCAGAUGUAUAAGACUAGUAGUUCUGUAGUAGCAGAUUUUGUCCCACACCUGAAGUCUUCAGUUCUCAGACUAAUACAAGCAACAAAUUUGACCAACUGUACCGUUGGUCACUAAACUUUCCAGAUAAUGGCUUUAUUACAGGAGCUGGAAGUACUCCUUUGCAUUAUGCUGCUUGUGGGGGCAAUCUGAAUUGUUGUCAGAGAAUGUGGGUUGCAAGCUUAGAAGAUGUACAUCCGAGAUCCGUACCUAAAAACACAAGCUACCGGCCAAAAAUUGAUUGUCUGGAUGUUUUAUAGGCCCGCCAGCCAUGGGCUAUGUUUUACUUCAGAAACCAAAAAGUGCCAUGCAGGGGCCGAGAAAGGUUGUAUCAAUAUGUCUAUCACAGCUAGGGCAGAAACUAAGAAGAAGUUUAGUGAUUAUUAGGGUUUUUAGUAAAAGAUGGAUGGACAAGAAGGUGGAGCAGUGGUGAGGAUACCUAAAAAUAACUAUAAACAAGUGAUAAAUCAGCUCCAAACAAUCUCAAGAAAAACCGAGUUUGAUACGAAAAUCAAGGAGUUAAGAAAUGGAUCCCAUGAUUGGGUUUCCAAACAAUCUUUUGUUGUUGAACUUCCUGUUGUUACUACAUUUGGUGUAAUCCAUGGAGCUGCUUGUGGUGCUUUCACCGGAGCCUUAGCUGAGGUUGCUAAGCAUGUCUAUCCACAGCAUUCACUUGUCAUUAAGGAUGGCAGCAGGUUUUGGUGCUGAAGUCCUGCUUAGAUUGAUGCUGACGUCGAUGGGGGAUCCUAAUCUGGCAGUGAAAGCAGUCAUAACCGGAGUCAUCGGUGCGCUUGUUGGAGGUACUGCCUUUCAGCUAGGUGACAGAAUCUCUCCGCCAUCAAGGGAGUAUACCAGAACAAGAUGCAUGUUGUCGAAUCUUGGGCUUCAAAAUUAUGAGAAGAACUUCCAGGAAGGCUUCUUAAUAGACAUUACUAUACCUAUGCUUAC
Long non-coding RNA from Papaver somniferum (opium poppy), 1509 nucleotides. RefSeq lists it as uncharacterized. The record is from RefSeq and is a predicted model, not a curated record. The transcript is spliced from 6 exons. Lineage: Eukaryota; Viridiplantae; Streptophyta; Magnoliopsida; Ranunculales; Papaveraceae.